Molecule: unclassified non-coding RNA, 387 nt
Filed under: soil metagenome
Description: partial contains 5.8S ribosomal RNA, internal transcribed spacer 2, and large subunit ribosomal RNA
Rfam family: 5.8S ribosomal RNA (bases 1-120)
Source: RNAcentral
GAUGAAGAACGUAGCGAAAUGCGAUAAGUAAUGUGAAUUGCAGAAUUCAGUGAAUCAUCGAAUCUUUGAACGCACCUUGCGCUCCUUGGUAUUCCGAGGAGCAUGCCUGUUUGAGUGUCAUGAAAUUCUCAACCUUUUCAGCUUUCUUUGUUGAUCAGGCUUGGAUGUGGGAGUAUGCGGGCUUCUCAGAAGUCGGCUCUCCUGAAAUGCAUUAGCGGGACCUUUGUUGCCUGGCUUUGGUGUCAUAAUUAUCUACGCCAUUGUAGUCAAGCAGCUUAAAAUGAGGUUUCAGCUUCUAACCGUCUCCCCUGAGACAACUUUUUGACAAUUUGACCUCAAAUCAGGUAGGACUACCCGCUGAACUUAAGCAUAUCAAUAAGCGGAGGA